UACGUAGGGGGCGAGCGUUGUCCGGAUUUAUUGAGCGUAAAGAGCUCGUAGGCGGUUCGAUAAGUCGGACGUGAAAUCUCCACGCUCAACGUGGAGGGGCCGUUCGAUACUGUCGUGACUCGAGUCCGGUAGGGGAGUGUGGAAUUCCCGGUGUAGCGGUGAAAUGCGCAGAUAUCAGGAGGAACACCGAUUGCGAAGGCAGCUCGCUGGGACGUUACUGACGCUGAGACGCGAAAGCGUGGGGAGCAAACAGG
RNAcentral lists this ribosomal RNA (254 nucleotides) under uncultured bacterium. Its description in RNAcentral is "partial 16S ribosomal RNA". It matches the Rfam family "Bacterial small subunit ribosomal RNA", at positions 524 to 776 of the family's 1533-position model. The record is from RNAcentral.